This 703-nucleotide long non-coding RNA is filed under the name Felis catus (domestic cat). RNAcentral describes it as "lncRNA (ENSFCAG00000043633.2)". Lineage: Eukaryota; Metazoa; Chordata; Mammalia; Carnivora; Felidae. The record is from RNAcentral.
GGUGUGUGCAGGGGCAGAAUGUGCCAGAAUGCACCAGAAUGUGCUGGCUCUCACCUUGCCCAGCUGCCGCUGGUGAGUCGUGGGGGGAAUUGGGGGGCAACCUACUACUCUCCCUGAAUCACGUGAGCCGACAAAUCCCCCCCCCCUGCACUCUGGGGCCCCCACCAGAGCCCCAGUGUGCAGGUAAAGGGGCUUCUCUUAGACUCUCUCUCCUUCCAAAGAGAAAAACAAAGCACAAAGAGGGACCUGAAGUAUCUCCUUCUCGGAAGCCUGAUAAGGGACUGGAGUGGUGGCCAGAGCCGUGGAAUCCAACAAGAGGAACAUUACGUGCCAUGUGGCAUGGGGGUCCCACAGCGGGAUUCCCACCCCCACGGGUCCUCUGCCUCCACCCUGCAGACCCCGAGGAGGCAAGGAGGCCUUCAGAAAGGAGUCUCCGGAGGCAGCCCAGCCGUGCAGACCCUGACGUUGGACAUACAGCCCAAGUUCUCCAUCUUUAUCCUGCAGAAAAAGUAACGUAUUUCCAGAGGGUUCCAUCAGAGGGGCGGUGAGAAGCUCGGACUCGCCUCCAGGAAGGGGUCCUGGGGUCCCUCCACGGAACAGUCCAGACGUGAACGUACGUCAUCAAAGGGAAAGGGUCUGGGUUCAGGCCCCGGGGCCCCGUGAGUUUGGCUGCAAAAUAAAUUGCCCAGACGAGAGAUUUUCA